UACGUAGGUGGCAAGCGUUAUCCGGAUUUAUUGGGCGUAAAGGGAACGCAGGCGGUCUUUUAAGUCUGAUGUGAAAGCCUUCGGCUUAACCGGAGUAGUGCAUCGGAAACUGGGAGACUUGAGUGCAGGAGAGGAGAGUGGAAUUCCAUGUGUAGCGGUGAAAUGCGUAGAUAUAUGGAAGAACACCAGUGGCGAAAGCGGCUCUCUGGUCUGUAACUGACGCUGAGGUUCGAAAGCGUGGGUAGCAAACAGG
RNAcentral lists this ribosomal RNA (253 nucleotides) under uncultured bacterium. RNAcentral describes it as "partial 16S ribosomal RNA". It matches the Rfam family "Bacterial small subunit ribosomal RNA", at positions 524 to 776 of the family's 1533-position model. The record is from RNAcentral.